UAGAGAGGUAGAGGCGCGAUGCUUAAUAGUACUUUUACAGAGGUAAGCACGAAGAAGUAAAAGGAAAGGAAUCAUCGCCGAAGCGUACAACCGAUGCUUUAAGGUUGUAAAGCUGGGGUUAUAUAUAAUAUAUAUAACACUGCCGCAAUUAUUGUGGAGAGCUAUCAUCUAA
This 172-nucleotide non-coding RNA is filed under the name Clostridium fallax. Its description in RNAcentral is "Lysine sequence". It matches the Rfam family "Lysine riboswitch aptamer". Rfam says of the family: Riboswitches are metabolite binding domains within certain messenger RNAs that serve as precision sensors for their corresponding targets. Lineage: Bacteria; Bacillati; Bacillota; Clostridia; Eubacteriales; Clostridiaceae. The record is from Rfam by way of RNAcentral.